ACGUUUCUCCUCCUCUCGCGAAACAAAUCUCUAGAGCCUCACGUCCACCCACCCUAUCUCUGGCCACCGACGCCCAUCCUCUCCCCCGCCGGUGGAACACUCCCACUGCCGCAGCCGAAAACAGUCCCAAUCUCGACACCCAAAGGAGCACACCAAUGUGAGAGGCAGGAUAGAGCCCAUCCCCUCCGCCAUGGUCAACGGCCCGCCGCCCAUGAUGGCACUGACGCCCCCCAAUUCCCAUGCCAACGCGUAAGAGGCGGCGCCAUUGGAUGGAUGGCGCGCGUGCUAUAUGCGUGUGCGCGUGCGCCUGAAUGCUAGGGCGGCGUGCAGGAGCUCCCCCUUCUCCUCCCUUUUCCUCUCUCUCCCCCUGCGCGCGGUGGAGCUUGAGCUGGGCGGGACGCUAAGCGGGAGUUCUUGAGGGCAGAGGAAGAAGACGUUCAGGUAGAAGGCGUGGACAUUGGGGAGUAGCUACAUGGGAGGAGGGCGUGAACGGUGGGAUGGGUGUUGGCUGGCUGUUGAGUGCAUCAAGGCUGCUCUAAUGUUGUUAAUUUUCUUGCUCUGCCCUGAUAUACUACUAUUUGAGCAUAUAUAAAGAGAUCAUAGAGGAAAGCAACAGUAGGCUGCUGCGAUUUUGUUCAUGGUGCUACUGGUUUUGUUAAUGUUGGUAUUUGCUUACUGAUUACAACUGCUGCUACUAGGUACUCGCUUUAUGAUAUGAAUAUUAUUCAGUUAUUCUUUCUUUGUUGUUUCUAUCUGAAUAUUAUUCAGUUAUUCUUUCUUUGUUGUUUCUAUCUGAAUAUUAUUCAGUUAUUCUUUCUUGUUUCUAUCUCAAUAUUAUUCAGAUAUUCUUUCUUUGUCUAAAUCGAUUUAGGAGAAGAGAUAGAGAGAAGAGUUACUGGUGUGGUUCAUUUGGGAAAUUUAGUACUUUGUUUAUACUGCUUUGUUUUAGGGGAUGAAGUAAAUAGAAGAAGAAAUUCCUGGGAUGGAUCUCUAUGAAAGUUGUUACAUGAAGUAUUUUAUCUGGGAACGCCUAAUACCCCUGGUGUUGGGUUUGGUCUUCAUUCAAUCCCCAAAUUAUAUGGUCUGGUAAGAUUUUUCCUUUUGCAAAUUUGAUUGCUUAAUGGUGUGUACGCCAGCAUCCGUCUCCUGUUUUCCUUGCAUGCUCACUGACAACAGCGACAUCGGCGGGAGACGAGGAGUAUCCCGUGUUUGUUCUGACGAGCAUGCAAGCUCUGAAAUGUACAUAUUACCUUGACGAGGACACCCCAUCUCAGCUCUUGGCUUCCAGGGAUACGUGCUGCCAGCGGUAGCACAAUCACACUGGCACAGUGCCCCGCGUCGUCUGCACCGAUGCUGCUGUGUCCUACCUCCAUGCUUCACCGUUGUGAUUCCAUCCGCCAGGAGACAGGAAGAACGAUUGUUGAAGAGGCUUAGGAAGUCUGCUCACAGAAUUUUGCAUGGGCUAGAAUCAGGCAAACACGAUAAGUUGCAUGCAUGUAUGUAAAAUUCCGGAUAAUAGAAACAGGAAGGUGUAUGCUCGACAUGCUUGACCAUGUCAAAGCUCAUGCAUGAUCAAUUAUAUCCUGAGGUUAUUCGUAUUAUCUGGAAGGUGAGCUUCAAAAUUUUGUAAAGUAGUGUUUCCAACAGUUCAGAGCUUCUGCUUUACUAUAUUGUCAGUAUUUAGGUAGAUGGUCUCUCUUUUAAAUCCUGAUACAAGUAAUGCACUUCGGCAAGUUCUAUUUAUCUGUCUCUUUGCUGCCAAUAGCUGAUAUAAUUUCAUCGUGAGCACGCAAGACAAUAGCUCUAUUGUUGUUCAUGGUUGUUGGCCUAUGCCCUAUAGAGAGAAUAAUUAGUAUUUGCCUCUAUGUAUCAGACUGUAGCUGUGCCGUGUACCUAUUGUAUCAUUUUCAUCAUUGACAGAUACGGGUAGCAAAUUAUCAUUGCAAAAUGUUGUGGCUGCAGUGUUUGACUUGUUAAUUCUACAUUCCUUCCUUUCCGGUGAAGUGUUACUUUUGCGUUUGUUAUGUCUUAUUUUUCUCUAUGUUCAUUGCUUCUGUUGACUUCAGAUUCUGCAUAUGGGGAGAAACAUCCAAUUUUUCAAGACACAUCCCGAAUAUUUGUUUCCUGGUUGUCCGUUGUCAACGUUUUCUUUGCAUAGACCUGGUUGAUGUAAGAAAAUUUACAAGUAGUCCGAUACUAAUAUUUUUGUAUGUACAUACAUGUGCACUCACCCCUUCUAUAUAAAUAUGAUUGCUCAAAUAUGAUUCAAGAGCAUCUUUUACUUUA
Triticum aestivum (bread wheat) is the source of this 2286-nucleotide long non-coding RNA. RefSeq lists it as uncharacterized. The record is from RefSeq and is a predicted model, not a curated record. NCBI's taxonomy places the organism in Eukaryota, Viridiplantae, Streptophyta, Magnoliopsida, Poales, Poaceae. The transcript has 2 exons.